This 893-nucleotide ribosomal RNA is filed under the name uncultured bacterium. RNAcentral's name for it is "bacterial SSU rRNA". It matches the Rfam family "Bacterial small subunit ribosomal RNA", at positions 8 to 916 of the family's 1533-position model. The record is from RNAcentral.
AGAGUUUGAUCCUGGCUCAGGACGAACGCUGGCGGCGUGCUUAACACAUGCAAGUCGAACGAUGAAGCCCUUCGGGGUGGAUUAGUGGCGAACGGGUGAGUAACACGUGGGCAAUCUGCCCUUCACUCUGGGACAAGCCCUGGAAACGGGGUCUAAUACCGGAUAAUACUCCUGCCUGCAUGGGUGGGGGUUAAAAGCUCCGGCGGUGAAGGAUGAGCCCGCGGCCUAUCAGCUUGUUGGUGAGGUAGUGGCUCACCAAGGCGACGACGGGUAGCCGGCCUGAGAGGGCGACCGGCCACACUGGGACUGAGACACGGCCCAGACUCCUACGGGAGGCAGCAGUGGGGAAUAUUGCACAAUGGGCGAAAGCCUGAUGCAGCGACGCCGCGUGAGGGAUGACGGCCCUCGGGUUGUAAACCUCUUUCAGCAGGGAAGAAGCGAGAGUGACGGUACCUGCAGAAGAAGCGCCGGCUAACUACGUGCCAGCAGCCGCGGUAAUACGUAGGGCGCAAGCGUUGUCCGGAAUUAUUGGGCGUAAAGAGCUCGUAGGCGGCUUGUCACGUCGGGUGUGAAAGCCCGGGGCUUAACCCCGGGUCUGCAUUCGAUACGGGCUAGCUAGAGUGUGGUAGGGGAGAUCGGAAUUCCUGGUGUAGCGGUGAAAUGCGCAGAUAUCAGGAGGAACACCGGUGGCGAAGGCGGAUCUCUGGGCCAUUACUGACGCUGAGGAGCGAAAGCGUGGGGAGCGAACAGGAUUAGAUACCCUGGUAGUCCACGCCGUAAACGGUGGGAACUAGGUGUUGGCGACAUUCCACGUCGUCGGUGCCGCAGCUAACGCAUUAAGUUCCCCGCCUGGGGAGUACGGCCGCAAGGCUAAAACUCAAAGGAAUUGACGG